RNAcentral lists this ribosomal RNA (518 nucleotides) under Helvella aff. costifera F. Landeros 3358. RNAcentral's name for it is "eukaryotic LSU rRNA". It matches the Rfam family "Eukaryotic large subunit ribosomal RNA", at positions 65 to 584 of the family's 3401-position model. Lineage: Eukaryota; Fungi; Ascomycota; Pezizomycetes; Pezizales; Helvellaceae. The record is from RNAcentral.
CCAACAGGGAUUGCCCCAGUAACGGCGAGUGAAGCGGCAGGAGCUCAAAUUUGAAAUCUGGGGUCCCCGACCUCCGAGUUGUAAUUUGGAGAGGCAUCUUCGGGGGGGAGCGCUGGCCCAUGUUCCUUGGAACAGGACGUCGCAGAGGGUGAGAAUCCCGUGCCAGGCCGGCUGCCUCCUCCCAGGUGGAGGGCCUUCGAUGAGUCGAGUUGUUUGGGAAUGCAGCUCCAAGUGGGUGGUAAAUUUCAUCUAAAGCUAAAUACCGGCGGGAGACCGAUAGCGCACAAGUAGAGUGAUCGAAAGAUGAAAAGCACUUUGAAAAUAGAGUCAAAAAGUACGUGAAAUUGUUGAAAGGGAAGCGCUUGAGACCAGACUCAGACCCGAGCAAACAUCGCGCCCCUCGGGGCCGUGCAAUUGCCUGGGGCUGGGCCAGCAUCAGUUGGCGUGGCGGGACAAAGGCGCGGGGAAUGUGGCUCCCCUCGGGGAGUGUUAUUAGGCCCGCGCUAAAUGCCGCCGAC